AUACGGAGGGUGCGAGCGUUAAUCGGAAUUACUGGGCGUAAAGCGCACGUAGGCGGUUUGUUAAGUCGGAUGUGAAAUCCCCGGGCUCAACCUGGGACCUGCAUCCGAUACUGGCGGGCUAGAGUCUGGUAGAGGGGGGUAGAAUUCCUGGUGUAGCGGUGAAAUGCGUAGAUAUCAGGAGGAAUACCAGUGGCGAAGGCGGCCCCCUGGACUGAGACUGACGCUGAGGUGCGAAAGCGUGGGGAGCAAACAGGAUUAGAAACCCUAGUAGUCC
RNAcentral lists this ribosomal RNA (274 nucleotides) under uncultured bacterium. RNAcentral describes it as "partial 16S ribosomal RNA". It matches the Rfam family "Bacterial small subunit ribosomal RNA", at positions 523 to 796 of the family's 1533-position model. The record is from RNAcentral.